This is a long non-coding RNA of Pyrus x bretschneideri (Chinese white pear), 1727 nucleotides long. RefSeq lists it as uncharacterized. The record is from RefSeq and is a predicted model, not a curated record. Lineage: Eukaryota; Viridiplantae; Streptophyta; Magnoliopsida; Rosales; Rosaceae. The transcript is spliced from 4 exons.
CCUAUCUUUUCUAUUUUGCGUGACGAAGUAUAUUUUUUGUCGCUCAAGUACGUCUUGCGCGACGAAAUACUCUUCGUCAUGCAAGCUGUUUUUUCUACUAGUGUAUUGUGGAAGACUCCAAGGCAGCCAUACUUAGGAUCACUGGAGUUUCUGCUACUCACACCCGACGUCAAGGAAGUUCAAUCACCCACCGCCUGGCUCGCCAUGUGCUGCAUAUGAGUCUGACUACCUGUUCUUGGUUUGAAGAGCCCUCAUAUUUCAUUUCAAAUUUACUCUUGUCUGAUUGUAAUUCUGUUGGUGAAUGAUGAGUGUUUAGAACCACACAUGUAAUGAUUGAACAUUCACCAUGCCAUCGGCCCGUGGUGGAUGUUUUUUUCUUUUUUUUUAAUAGUUUGGAGUAUAUUAAAAUCUAAAAUCCCAAUUAUAUCCCCUCUCUUGAAACUGGAUGAAAACCCUAAAAAGAAAACGUCAAUCCUUUUGUUUCUCCAUCUCUUCCGUCUCUGGUCGAUCUCGGUUUGGUCGUUUUUCCGGUCAUCUCUCCCUCAAUCAGCGGCAACCUCUCUACAUCACUCAGAUGGUGACGAGAUGCACUCAAGUGAUGAUGUGAAUGAAGCAAAAAACAGAAAGUGGAAGAGGUCCAACAAUGCUGGAUUAUAAUGUUGUGUCAAAGCCAAACAAAUUGGUGUUCAAUUCAAUGACAAAGGACAACAUUUUGGUGUUGGAUCAGGGAGUUUGAGUUCGUCGGCAGGGAUCCUUGCAAGACAACUAAUACCAGUAACUUACGCAAGUUGGGAUGAGGUUCCUACAAUUUUGAAAGAUAAAUUAUGGGCUGCUGUGAAGAGAAACAAAGGCACACCUGAGGAGGAUUUAAAUAGAGUCAAUCUUUGGAUAGCUGCUCGUGCAAGAAAAAAUGGUCAACCCGUAAAUGAGAUAGUGUCAAAGAAAAUGGAUGACAUUAAGUUGGCUAAUGAAAUGCCAACAACAGACAAUGGUUCUAUAAAAGAUGAUGCCUUAUCACAAGCACUUGGACCUGAACAUCGAGGUCGACUUCAAGGAGGUGGUUAUGGGGUUACACCUUCUAGAUAUGAUGCCCAAACAUAUGCCAGCAUGAGUAAUCGAUAGCUUAGAGACUGACUACAAAAUGUCGAAGGAAAAUUGCAGGAAGUGUUUGAUCUUGUGUUGGCUAAACAACAAAAUGAGGUAAUUAUAUAUGCAACUUUGUAUAUACUUAUAAAAAUGAUAAAAUAUUUACGGCAUAUAGCUACAGGGAAAUAUAUGCUAGUUACAACUUGUUGGUAUCUUACGAGGGUCUUCAUGCAAGUUACUAAAUUGGCUCGGAAAUGGACAAGUUGUUGCAACUGGAGAAAUAGAAUCAACAAAUCCUGAGGCGAAAGUUCAUCACAUGGUGCUUGGUCCUGAUUGCUGAAAAGUUUGGGUAACUGUUGUCAAAGUGGAGAAUAUAUCUUUGUACCGGCCCGUAAGUGAAUUUCGUGUCCCGAAGGAUGCUAAAUCUAGUACAAUUGCCUAGCCAUCAAAGUACGUCCGAGUUGGAGAGUAAUUAGUUGUGGUCAAUUUUGGCACUACAUGGAUAGUACUUUAUGACUUCCGCUGUUUAUGUAUUCAUUAGGCACUUCAUGGGUACUACUUUAUGACUUCUGUUGUUUAUGUAUUUAUUUGGAAACUCAAGUAUUUUUAAAUUAUGUUAUAAUAUUAUCAAGUAUUUUUUA